AUUGAACGCUGGCGGCAGGCCUAACACAUGCAAGUCGAGCGGAUGAAGGGAGCUUGCUCCUGGAUUCAGCGGAGGACGGGUGCGUAAUGCCUAGGAAUCUGCCUGGUAGUGGGGGAUAACGUCCGGAAACGGGCGCUAAUACCGCAUACGUCCUGUGGGGGAAAGUGGGGGAUCUUCGGACCUCACGCUAUCAGAUGAGCCUAGGUCGGAUUAGCUAGUUGGUGGGGUAAAGGCCUACCAAGGCGACGAUCCGUAACUGGUCUGAGAGGAUGAUCAGUCACACUGGAACGGAGACACGGUGCAGACUCCUACGGGAGGCAGCAGUGGGGAAUAUUGGACAAUGGGCGAAAGCCUGAUCCAGCCAUGCCGCGUGUGUGAAGAAGGUCUUCGGAUUGUAAAGCACUUUAAGUUGGGAGGAAGGGCAGUAAGUUAAUACCUUGCUGUUUUGACGUUACCAACAGAAUAAGCACCGGCUAACUUCGUG
This 484-nucleotide ribosomal RNA is filed under the name uncultured bacterium. RNAcentral describes it as "partial 16S ribosomal RNA". It matches the Rfam family "Bacterial small subunit ribosomal RNA", at positions 30 to 507 of the family's 1533-position model. The record is from RNAcentral.